GAUGAACGCUGGCGGCGUGCCUAAUACAUGCAAGUCGAGCGAACAGACGAGGAGCUUGCUCCUCUGACGUUAGCGGCGGACGGGUGAGUAACACGUGGAUAACCUACCUAUAAGACUGGGAUAACUUCGGGAAACCGGAGCUAAUACCGGAUAAUAUAUUGAACCGCAUGGUUCAAUAGUGAAAGACGGUUUUGCUGUCACUUAUCGAUGGAUCCGCGCCGCAUUAGCUAGUUGGUAAGGUAACGGCUUACCAAGGCAACGAUGCGUAGCCGGCCUGAGAGGGUGAUCGGCCACACUGGAGCUGAGACACGGUCCAGACUCCUACGGGAGGCAGCAGUAGGGAAUCUUCCGCAAUGGGCGAAAGCCUGACGGAGCAACGCCGCGUGAGUGAUGAAGGUCUUCGGAUCGUAAAACUCUGUUAUUAGGGAAGAACAAAUGUGUAAGUAACUAUGCACGUCUUGACGGUACCUAAUCAGAAAGCCACGGCUAACUACGUG
RNAcentral lists this ribosomal RNA (497 nucleotides) under uncultured bacterium. RNAcentral's name for it is "partial 16S ribosomal RNA". It matches the Rfam family "Bacterial small subunit ribosomal RNA", at positions 28 to 507 of the family's 1533-position model. The record is from RNAcentral.